AUUUAAAUAGUUUAAAAAAAAAUUUUGAUUUGUGGAAUCAAAGAUAUAAGGCAUUAUUUUAAAUA
RNAcentral lists this transfer RNA (65 nucleotides) under Curculionoidea sp. 14 KM-2017. Its description in RNAcentral is "tRNA-His". The record is from RNAcentral. Lineage: Eukaryota; Metazoa; Arthropoda; Insecta; Coleoptera.